GUAGUUAGCCGGGGCUUCCUCCUUGGCUACCGUCACUUUCUUCGUCACCAAGGACAGAGGUUUACAAUCCGAAAACCUUCUUCCCUCACGCGGCGUUGCUGGGUCAGGCUUGCGCCCAUUGCCCAAUAUUCCUCACUGCUGCCUCCCGUAGGAGUCUGGACCGUGUCUCAGUUCCAGUGUGGCCGAUCAGCCUCUCAGCUCGGCUACCCAUCGCUGGCAUGGUGGGCCGUUACCCCGCCAUCUACCUAAUGGGACGCGAACCCCUCCCAAAGCGGAUUGCUCCUUUGACCCCUUCGCCAUGUGACGUUGUGGUCUUAUGCGGUAUUAGCACUUGUUUCCAGGUCGUUAUCCCCCUCUUUGGGUCAGGUUGUUCACGCGUUACUCACCCGUUCGCCACUAAAGCAACAACCGAAAUCAUUGCUUCCGUUCGACUUGCAUGUGUAAGGCACGCCGCCAGCGUUCGUCCUGAGCCAUGAUCAAACUCUGA
This 487-nucleotide ribosomal RNA is filed under the name uncultured bacterium. RNAcentral's name for it is "partial 16S ribosomal RNA". The record is from RNAcentral.